This 72-nucleotide transfer RNA is filed under the name Pyricularia grisea. RNAcentral's name for it is "tRNA-Glu". It matches the Rfam family "tRNA". Rfam says of the family: Transfer RNA (tRNA) molecules are approximately 80 nucleotides in length. Lineage: Eukaryota; Fungi; Ascomycota; Sordariomycetes; Magnaporthales; Pyriculariaceae. The record is from RNAcentral. RNAcentral also lists the same sequence under 4 other names.
GGAUUAGUCGUCUAACAGGUAAGACCUAGCUCUUUCAAUGCUAUAUCGUAGGUUCGAGUCCUGCCUAGUCUA